This is a long non-coding RNA of Trifolium pratense (red clover), 488 nucleotides long. RefSeq lists it as uncharacterized. The record is from RefSeq and is a predicted model, not a curated record. Lineage: Eukaryota; Viridiplantae; Streptophyta; Magnoliopsida; Fabales; Fabaceae. The transcript has 3 exons.
AUUUUUAUUCUUUUAUACUACUAUAUAAAGUGACUAAACCAUAUUAUAUUUGUUACGUUCAAAGGUGAAAAAAAAUGACUGAAACUCACGAGUUUGUUUAUAAUGUGAUGAUUUUUGUUUCCAUAUUUCUCUUUGUAAUCUUUGAUGAAAGAAAAUAUGAAUGCUAUAAUGAUGCCGAUUGUAAUAAACUAUAUCCUGAUCCUCCUACUGGAAAAAUAAUGAGGUGCUUUGGCGGUUAUUGUAAAAGCUUGUUUUCAUGGGAAGGAGCCUUAUAAUGCAGAGUUCGAUUGGAUGAUAAUUCAAUAAUGUUUGACCAAGGAUCAUUCCAACAAGAAUUCAAACGUUUGUCCUUAAUUAAAGCUCAAUAACCAUUUGUCUCAUGUUCUAAAGGAUCUAUUUAUAUUCAUAUCCUACAUACUACUCCGAUCUCUUUUGUAAGCAAAAAUUCCUUUUUGCACACUUAUUAAGGAGUAUCAUUUUUAUCUUAA